CAGUGUCUUAAUAUGCCUACCAGCAUAUCUUGGGGGCUAUUGUUUACUUUAAGAUUAUACUACUAGUCACAGAGACAGGAAGUUCUUUGUUCUUCUCCACCUAUGUUCUGGGAGAAGCAAACUCCAGUCAUUCUGAAUGUCGAAGUGAUGCAGUAAGGUCCGAGUUACAUAACAUUGCAGCAGAAAGUUUUAGUUAUUUUGUGGAACAAACUACAGGCCCAAUUCGAUUGUUAUCUGAAGGUUUACCGGAGAUAGUAAUUAACCUGAAGGUUGUACCGAAGAUAUGAAAGUGAAGUUACGAGUUGCUGAAUAAAACAGAAGUUGGUUGGACUUUA
Molecule: long non-coding RNA, 335 nt
Filed under: Strongylocentrotus purpuratus (purple sea urchin)
Lineage: Eukaryota; Metazoa; Echinodermata; Echinoidea; Camarodonta; Strongylocentrotidae
Description: uncharacterized LOC115928429
Source: RNAcentral